Long non-coding RNA from Homo sapiens (human), 2116 nucleotides. Ensembl annotates it as THUMPD3 antisense RNA 1. Its record names the gene THUMPD3-AS1. NCBI's taxonomy places the organism in Eukaryota, Metazoa, Chordata, Mammalia, Primates, Hominidae. The record is from Ensembl.
GGAAGCCGCCGGGGCCGCCUAGAGAAGAGGCUGUGCUUCGGCGCUCCGGCUCCUCAGAGAGCCUCGGCUAGGUGUGGAAACAGGAAGAGAACUAGAACUGGAAGUAAAGCAUUGAAGAUGUGACUGAAUUGCUGCAAUCUCAUGAUCAAAUUUGAAUGGAUGAGGAGUUGCUUUUUAGGGAUGAGCAAAGAAAGUGGUUUCUCGAGAUGGAAUCUACUGGUGAAGUUGCUGUGAACAUUGUUAAAAUGCCAAUAAAGGAUUUAGGAAUUACAGAAACCUGGUUGAUAAAGCAGUGCCAGGGUGUGAGAGAGUUGACUUCAAUUUUGAAAUAAGUUCCACUGGCUGGGUGUGGUGGCUCACACCUGCAAUCCCAGUACUUUAGGAGGCCGAGACUGGUAGAUCAUUUGAGGUCAGGAGUUCAAGACCAGCCUUGCCAACAUGGUGAAACCCCACCUCUACCAAAUUAGCCAGGUUGCUCCUUGAGGGCAGGACAGUUCUUAUGGCUUUAUCCGUUGCGUAAGCACAGAGAGGUCUGCGAGGUCAAAACUAUUGUCAUGAUAGCAAGAUGCCUGUCUUUUUCAUUUAUUCUCACGGUGUGCAGAGGCUACAUGAUGUGUGAUGACAUCCUCAUUGAUGUUAAUGAAUGGUGCUAUACUUGAAUUUUCUAAGGUGUCAUUAGGUAGGUUUAGGUAUGCAUACUUGUUUUUAGAAAUUAUUUUUUUCCUUUUUCCCAUUUUUAGAAAUCAACUCAUUUUUUAGGUUAUGCCUUCAGUAAUCUUUGCAACCUCAAUAUUGUGUAAUGGUUACUUUAAAAUACUGUAGUUUUCUUUGUGCCUAAGUAUAAACAUAAGUACAUUUUGUUGUUUUGUUUGCAAUAGUGGUUUAAAUAUUUUCCCAAAAUAUCCAAAUUUAAAAAUUCUACAACUUUAGAAUUUAAUAAAUUUAUUCUAAAAUAUUUAUAUAUUUUUUCAUUUAAGAAUGGAUCGGCUUAAAAAGACUGCUUCUCAUUUACUUACUGGCUAUACCAUCUGUAUACUAAUAAAAAACAAGAUUUGAUUUGGAAGGACUGACUCAAACUAACGAAAAUAUGAAACCUGUCUUUCUGCUUUGGAGAUAUUUACCUAAUCAUGUUCUGCAGUAGAAUAAUUUAGUUCUUUUGUCUUUUUUUGGAGAUGAGGUCUUGCUGUGUUGCCCAGGCUAUUCACAGCUGCCAUCAUAGUGAACUACAGCCUGAAACUCCUGGGUUCAAGAGAUCCUUCUGCCUCAGCCUCCUGAGUAGCUGGAACUAUAGGCAUGCGCCACCAAGCCUGGGCUUUUAAAAAAAUUUUAAAAAGAAUUUUGAGACAGGAUCUUGCCAUGUUGCUCAGGCUAGUCUUCAACUCCUAGCCCUGAGUGAUCUUGCUUUGGGCCUCUCAAAAUGUUGAGUUAAUAGGCGUGAGCCACCAUACCCAGCCAAAAAUUUUUUUAGAGAUGGGAAUGGAAUGAUCUUGAAUAGUGUUGGUGCCACCUAUGUUGUGGCAUCAUUUUGAAACCAAUCAUUCAGAGUGCUUUUUUUGGUAAGGCAUUAUUUUUUAAUGCAGGUAUGCCACUACUGGGAAAAAAAAAAAAACAGGUUUUAAAGCUAGAAAUGAAAAGCUACUUAAGUAUCUUAAAGGAUAAGUUACUUUAUUAUACACUAGAAACAUACACAAUAGCUGAAAAACUUAAAAAAUCUCACACUGCUGAAUGUCUCUGCUGGCUGAAGUGUAAGUAAAAGAUCAUAGUAGUGCCGCUGUUGAGUGAUAAAGCAACUUGUCAUUAAAGAUGUGUGUGCAGACAUGGAUUCUGAGUUAAUAUCUCAUCUGUAGAAGUAUAUAUUUGUCCCUUGCUUUGGGAUUGGUUUCUGGACAGCACUCCCCCACCCUUGCUGGCCAUUUGCCAAGGACACCAAAACCCAAGGAUGUUGAAUUCCCUUUUAUAAAAUGGCGCUGUAUCUGCAUACAACUUACACACAUCCUCCCAUAUACUUUAAAUCAUUUCCAGAUUUCUUAUACUUCAUACAAUGUGAAUGCUAUAUAAAUAGUUGUUACAUUGUGUACUUAUAUUUGUACUAUUGUAUUAAAUAUUCUCAAAUAUU